GGGCCCGUGGUCUAGCUGGUUAUGACGCAGCCCUGACGAGGCUGAGAUCCCCGGUUCGAAUCCGGGCGGGCCCA
RNAcentral lists this transfer RNA (74 nucleotides) under Candidatus Altarchaeales archaeon. RNAcentral's name for it is "tRNA-Val". It matches the Rfam family "tRNA". From Rfam's summary of the family: Transfer RNA (tRNA) molecules are approximately 80 nucleotides in length. Their secondary structure includes four short double-helical elements and three loops (D, anti-codon, and T loops). RNAcentral also lists the same sequence under 1 other name. Lineage: Archaea; Nanobdellati; Candidatus Altarchaeota; Candidatus Altarchaeia; Candidatus Altarchaeales. The record is from RNAcentral.